This 510-nucleotide ribosomal RNA is filed under the name uncultured bacterium. Its description in RNAcentral is "bacterial SSU rRNA". It matches the Rfam family "Bacterial small subunit ribosomal RNA", at positions 36 to 518 of the family's 1533-position model. The record is from RNAcentral.
CUGGCGGCGUGCCUAAUACAUGCAAGUCGAACGGCUUUUCUAUGGAAGCUUGCUUCCACUGAGAAGAUAGUGGCGAACGGGUGAGUAACACGUGGGUAACCUGCCCAUAAGAGGGGGGAUAACAUCCGGAAACGGGUGCUAAUACCGCAUAGUUUUCUUGAUCGCAUGAUUGAGAAAGGAAAGACGGCCUUUGUGCUGUCGCUUAUGGAUGGACCCGCGGCGUAUUAGUUAGUUGGUGAGGUAACGGCUCACCAAGACGAUGAUACGUAGCCGACCUGAGAGGGUGAUCGGCCACAUUGGGACUGAGACACGGCCCAAACUCCUACGGGAGGCAGCAGUAGGGAAUCUUCCGCAAUGGACGAAAGUCUGACGGAGCAACGCCGCGUGAGUGAAGAAAGGUUUUCGGAUCGUAAAACUCUGUUGUCAGAGAAGAACAAGUUGGAGAGUAACUGCUCCAGCCUUGACGGUAUCUGACCAGAAAGCCACGGCUAACUACGUGCCAGCAGCGGC